This 253-nucleotide ribosomal RNA is filed under the name uncultured bacterium. Its description in RNAcentral is "partial 16S ribosomal RNA". It matches the Rfam family "Bacterial small subunit ribosomal RNA", at positions 524 to 776 of the family's 1533-position model. The record is from RNAcentral.
UACGUAGGGUGCAAGCGUUAAUCGGAAUUACUGGGCGUAAAGCGUGCGCAGGCGGCUUUGCAAGACAGAUGUGAAAUCCCCGGGCUUAACCUGGGAACUGCAUUUGUGACUGCAUGGCUGGAGUGCGGCAGAGGGGGAUGGAAUUCCGCGUGUAGCAGUGAAAUGCGUAGAUAUGCGGAGGAACACCGAUGGCGAAGGCAAUCCCCUGGGCCUGCACUGACGCUCAGGCACGAAAGCAUGGGGAGCAAACAGG